GGCUGGUCCGAUGGUAGUGGGUUAUCAGAAUUUAUUAACAUUAAUGUCACUAAAAGUUGGCAUUCAACCCCCCACAGCUAAAUUUGAAUGGCUUAAA
Molecule: Y RNA, 97 nt
Filed under: Microcebus murinus (gray mouse lemur)
Lineage: Eukaryota; Metazoa; Chordata; Mammalia; Primates; Cheirogaleidae
Description: Y RNA (ENSMICG00000045064.1)
Rfam family: Y RNA
About the family: Y RNAs are components of the Ro ribonucleoprotein particle (Ro RNP), in association with Ro60 and La proteins.
Source: Rfam by way of RNAcentral